UGCAUCUGCAACUCAUGAGGAUGAGAACCUCCGGGGGCAGGGAGGUUCGACUCGAGCGAAGCGAGAGAACGUUGCGCCAGCAACGGCCCGCAGGGCGAGCCACGAAGUGGCGAGUAAUCCUCUAUCACCGACCA
Molecule: small RNA, 134 nt
Filed under: Escherichia coli
Lineage: Bacteria; Pseudomonadati; Pseudomonadota; Gammaproteobacteria; Enterobacterales; Enterobacteriaceae
Description: RtT sRNA
Rfam family: RtT RNA
About the family: This family represents a bacterial cis-regulatory element known as RtT RNA. The exact function of RtT is unknown although it is thought that it may be involved in changing the cellular response in relation to amino acid starvation.
Source: RNAcentral